RNAcentral lists this ribosomal RNA (253 nucleotides) under uncultured bacterium. Its description in RNAcentral is "partial 16S ribosomal RNA". It matches the Rfam family "Bacterial small subunit ribosomal RNA", at positions 524 to 776 of the family's 1533-position model. The record is from RNAcentral.
UACGUAGGGGGCAAGCGUUGUCCGGAUUUAUUGGGCGUAAAGAGCGUGUAGGCGGCCUUACAGGUCAGCUGUGAAAACUCGAGGCUCAACCUCGAGAGGUCGGUUGAAACCGUAAGGCUAGAGUCCGGAAGAGGAGAGUGGAAUUCCCGGUGUAGCGGUGAAAUGCGCAGAUAUCAUUUGGAACGCCAAUGGUGAAAACAGGUAGCUGGGGCUGUGCUGACGCUGAGACACGAAAGCCAGGGGAGCAAACGGG